GACGAACGCUGGCGGCGUGCCUAAUACAUGCAAGUAGGACGCAGUUGCGAACGGGUGAGUAACGCGUAGGUAACUACCUAUUAGAGGGGGAUAACUAUUGGAAACGAUAGCUAAUACCGCAUACUAGUAGAUGGUCCUGCGUUGUAUUAGCUAGUAGGUAGGGUAAUGGCCUACCUAGGCAACGAUACAUAGCCGGGUGUGCGGGGGGAUCCGCAACACUGGGACUGGAGAAAGGCCCAGGCUCCUUCGGGGAGGAGCAGGAGGGGAAUUUCGGCAAAGGGGGGAAACCUGACCGAGCAAAGCCGGGGGGGUGGAGAAAGUUUUCGGGUCGUAAAGGUCUGUUGUGAAGGAAGCGGUACUUAAACAGAAAGGGACGGCUAACUACGUGCCAGCAGCCGCGGUAAUUC
Molecule: ribosomal RNA, 407 nt
Filed under: uncultured bacterium
Lineage: Bacteria
Description: partial 16S ribosomal RNA
Rfam family: Bacterial small subunit ribosomal RNA
Source: RNAcentral